CUUUUUUGAUCGUUAGCAGGUGCACCAUCACUGAUGGUGUUUAAAAAGGAACCGUGUGCAAAUCACGGACUGUUGCGCAACUGUAAUUUCUGACCGGCCAUGGCCCGGAAGGAAGAAGUCAGAUACUUGCCUGUCUAACGGACGAAUG
RNAcentral lists this non-coding RNA (148 nucleotides) under Flavihumibacter solisilvae. Lineage: Bacteria; Pseudomonadati; Bacteroidota; Chitinophagia; Chitinophagales; Chitinophagaceae. The record is from RNAcentral.